This 424-nucleotide ribosomal RNA is filed under the name Verrucomicrobiota bacterium. Its description in RNAcentral is "Verrucomicrobia bacterium partial 16S ribosomal RNA". It matches the Rfam family "Bacterial small subunit ribosomal RNA", at positions 355 to 776 of the family's 1533-position model. Lineage: Bacteria; Pseudomonadati; Verrucomicrobiota. The record is from RNAcentral.
UGAGGAAUAUUGGUCAAUGGACGCAAGUCUGAACCAGCCAAGUAGCGUGCAGGAUGACGGCCCUAUGGGUUGUAAACUGCUUUUAUAUGGGGAUAAAGUGGGGAACGUGUUCCCUUUUGCAGGUACCAUAUGAAUAAGGACCGGCUAAUUCCGUGCCAGCAGCCGCGGUAAUACGGAAGGUUCGGGCGUUAUCCGGAUUUAUUGGGUUUAAAGGGAGCGUAGGCCGUUUGGUAAGCGUGUUGUGAAAUGUAGGAGCUCAACUUCUAGAUUGCAGCGCGAACUGUCAGACUUGAGUGCGCACAACGUAGGCGGAAGUCAUGGUGUAGCGGUGAAAUGCUUAGAUAUCAUGAAGAACUCCGAUUGCGAAGGCAGCUUACUGUAGCAUAACUGACGCUGAUGCUCGAAAGUGCGGGUAUCAAACAGG